RNAcentral lists this non-coding RNA (45 nucleotides) under Schistosoma margrebowiei. The record is from RNAcentral. Lineage: Eukaryota; Metazoa; Platyhelminthes; Trematoda; Strigeidida; Schistosomatidae.
AUCCAGUUGACGAGUCCUAAAUGGAACGAAACGCGUGUCCUGGAU